GCAAAACGCGAAGAACCUUACCUAGGCUUGACAUGCAUCUCUAAGCGCGUGAAAGCGCGUGACCCUUCGGGGAUUGCACAGGUGCUGCAUGGCCGUCGUCAGCUCGUGUCGUGAGAUGUUGGGUUAAGUCCCGCAACGAGCGCAACCCUUGUGAACAGUUGCCAGCACUUAAGGUGGGAACUCUGUUCAGACUGCCCAGAUCAACUGGGAGGAAGGUGGGGACGACGUCAGGUCAGUAUGGCCCUUACGCCUAGGGCUGCACACGUACUACAAUGCCCAGCACAAUGAGAACCGAGACCGCGAGGUGGAGGAAAUCUAAAAAACUGGGCCCAGUUCGGAUUGGAGGCUGCAACUCGCCUCCAUGAAGUUGGAAUCGCUAGUAAUGGCGCAUCAGCUACGGCGCCGUGAAUACGUUCCCGGGUCUUGUACACACCG
This 435-nucleotide ribosomal RNA is filed under the name uncultured bacterium. Its description in RNAcentral is "bacterial SSU rRNA". It matches the Rfam family "Bacterial small subunit ribosomal RNA", at positions 954 to 1392 of the family's 1533-position model. The record is from RNAcentral.